UACGUAGGGUGCAAGCGUUAAUCGGAAUUACUGGGCGUAAAGCGUGCGCAGGCGGUUUGUUAAGUCAGCUGUGAAAUCCCCGGGCUCAACCUGGGAAUGGCAGUUGAGACUGGCAGGCUGGAGUGUGUCAGAGGGGGGUGGAAUUCCACGUGUAGCAGUGAAAUGCGUAGAGAUGUGGAGGAAUACCGAUGGCGAAGGCAGCCCCCUGGGAUAACACUGACGCUCAUGCACGAAAGCGUGGGGAGCAAACAGG
This 253-nucleotide ribosomal RNA is filed under the name uncultured bacterium. RNAcentral describes it as "partial 16S ribosomal RNA". It matches the Rfam family "Bacterial small subunit ribosomal RNA", at positions 524 to 776 of the family's 1533-position model. The record is from RNAcentral.